GAUUUCAGCCAGGCAGCUAGCAAAGCUCGCGGGUGAACUGCACAGGCCAUGGUGGGUGCAGAGCUCAGAGCCGGAAAGCAAACAGCUGCUGUAGCCUGAUUUGAGUUAAAAUAGUGUGAGUGUUUAGUCUGGCGCACGGCUUCAGGGGAGAUUGGCAGCUGGGUCAAACAAAGUCCUUCCAUUGGCUCCCUUCCCAGGCAGCUUCUGCUAGUGUUUAGGUACUAGUGCAGUGUAGAACCCUUUUCUCAGGCAAAACCUAACAUCUGACCGCACCCUUUUUGCUAUUAAAAAAAAAAAAAAGCUUCUAUUUUUUUCCUCCUGUCGUUAAGAUAAAUUCUCCAGUAGACAACCUCUCCCACUAAUUGUGUAUUAGCAACGUAUUUUAUCUUGAGAGCUUGUACACUGGGCUCUCAACGUGGUGUGGAAGGUAGCCUGUUACAGUGCUGGAUUCAUAAAAGGGCCUUUAUGGUUUGUGAAAGAAUAUCUGUGUGCUUAGGGAGGAAACUUUUUGAUCUGCAGAAAAGCCAGAAGACAUCUAGGACAUCCAUAAAAAUUCAUCAGAGAGCAUUUUACUACUGAGCUGCAAAGGGAAAAACUUAAAAUGGAUAUGAAAAGUGAAGAAAGUGAUCAUAGGAGAAAACCAUUUCAGAUGACAAGAGCACCUCAAAGGCAGCAGCCUCAAGGAGCAGCCAUGGCCCCAGACUUGUCGCACGGAUGCAGAAAACUUAAUGGAGGAGGCUGAGGUCAGAAUGGGAAGAGUUUUUAAAAAAUAAAAAGGGGAGCUAAUAUGUGAGGAACUGAUUGCUGUGCAUUAUUUUCCACUGAACAGACCUUCUUUUAACUUCUAAUCUCAAGCACAUAGCAGCUGUUGUUUUCAUAUUAAAGAUCAGUAAGUGUUUGUUGAAUGAAUGUAUAAAUUCUUCCCCAAUCUCUGUUCCAUGUAAUAAGAACUAAGUUAGCAUUCAAUUAUAAAGAGGACUUAGAAAGUCUGCAGACAUUUUUGAUCAAAAAUCCUUUUAACUGUCUUCUUAUGGUUCCCGGUAACACCUAAGCCCAAAAAACUCAGGUCAUUUCUUGCCUGUACUGUUGCAAUAGCCUCAUAAUAACUAGUCUUCUCCUUUAUCAACCACAGUCGUCUCCGCUACACAAAGAAGAGAGGGUGCUAAUCUAAAGUGUAAAUUAUUUUAAAUCAGCACCCUUCUUGUAAUUUCCCAGUGGUUUUUCCUGUCAUAAGAAUAACAUGCAAAAUUCCUUGCUUGCAAAGCCAGGUAUGACCUUGCCCCGUCUACCUUACUGGCAUCGUCUCUCAUGACUCUUCCCCUUUUUCACUCUCCAUCUUGCCUUUUCCCAACCAUGCCUGCUAGUGAGCCUUAGCCCUUGUGUUUUCUCUGCCAGGGAUGCAUGACUGGCUUCUUUACUUUAUUCUGAUCUCUCUGCUCAAAUGUCAUCUUUUUAGAGAUAGCUUUCCUAAACAUCUUUAAAAGUACCCCAUGAACUGUGAAACACCUUUCCUGCUUUUUCUUCAUAGUACUUAUCACUUCCUGAUAUUAUGUUAGACAACAAGCAAAUAAGUAUAUGCUGUUCCCACUAAAAUAUAAGCUCCAUUUGAACAGGAGCCUUGAUUAUUCCUGAGUAUACCCCUAGUGCCCAGAACCUAGUAGGGCUUUAAUAAAUAUUAGAUUCAUUUGUUGAAUGAAAAAAUGAAUGAAUAAUUGAAUAAAGAUAUCCAGGUAGAGUGUCCGGGCAGCCCAACCUAUGUGAAGCCAGUACAAGAAUGUUUCUGUGACAUAGUGAGCGCAAUUAUUCCUCUAAAUGAUGAACUUGCAUGAGUACACAAGGAUAAAAUUAAGCACGUAGUUUAGAUUUCUGCAAGUCUCUUCCUCAGAUUGAGGAAAAACAAAGAAAUUGAGCUUAUUCUCACCUCAUUCUUACAUGAACUAAAUCCAGAAUAAAGCAUCAUUUAAAUACCAAGCACAUCCCUACCUCAGCCACUCAUGGAAUACUUUAUCUGUAAAGGGACAGAUAGAUAGUAAAUAUUUUUGGCUUUGGGGACCGUACAGUCUGUGUCGCCACUACUCAGCACUUCUGUUGAGGUGUGGAAUCAGCCCUAGACAACACAUAAACAAAUGGGUGUGGCUGUGUUCCAAUAAAAUGUUAUUUAUAAAACUAGGAAAUCAGCAGAUUUAGUCCACAGGCUGUAGUUUGCUGACCCUUGAAUUAGAGAGUCUUCCCCAAAUCCUCUUCCCAAGUUAUUGAAAGAAUGCCCAUAGGACCAUAGCUCCCUCACCUGGUUCUUUCAAGAAAUGAGACAAAUUCAGGGAUGGUUGGAGGGUGGAACGCCUACCUGUGACAUGACUAUUGAGCCUGAUUUCUUUCCUUUUAUCUCUUUAAAGUGAGUCAGGUCUUAACUUUAAACUGUCUCUAAAGUGGCAAUAACUGGGCCAUGUCAAAUACUCCCAAUGACAAAAUUUCUUCUUGGAGAAUGAAUGAGGGUUGCAUACAGUGGUGUGUUGGUAAAUGUUUAGCAACUGGCUCUCUUACUGAUUUCUGUAGUGUAAAUUCUCCCAUCCUGGCCAUCUGAAACUACCAAUAUGAUGUCACUUGAUGUAGAGUUGGGAAAAGACAGUCUCUUGAAUAAGUAUGAGCUGGUUCCAGCCCACUGCUGAACACAUAUUUAAAAGCUACAAUAGCUCUGCUCACUGCCAUUGCAGAGUCUGGAGGAAAGAGUAGCAGGCUUGAUAGGAGCAAUUGGCUGAAUAAUCUUUUGCAAUGCCAAUAAAUAAUGAAAAAGUAUAUAAAUAUAACGCUGUAUAGAAAGCUCUCAAGUUCAGUGUUUGGUUAAAAUACAUACUCAGUAAAUGGUAGCUAUUAUUGUCUUAGUUUAAGUUAUUGCAAGCAUUAAAAUUAAAUGUUUAGCUACAGACUCAAUCCAGUUUUAAUGUCAUUGUGUUAAUAAGGCCUCUUAACAUUGAAGCAACAAAGAUAAAGGAAUUUUUUUGUAGCUAUUCACGAUUCUGCCCAGCUCAAGGUAAAGAUAGCAACAAAAUACUCCAACCAGAAUAAAAGAAGUCUCCACUUGACUGCAGCUCUUCGCAACACUUCACAAGGGUCAAGCUGUGUUAGUUUCCUUCAGUGUUAAACAGAAUGCAUCUUAAGAGAAUAGUUCAAUUAUUGAUUGAAUAGUAGGUUCAAGUUGACUAUAAUCCCAACUAAUACACUCUAAGACCAGGGAUGGGCCGACAGAAGGGUAAAGUUUUCCACUCAAGUCUCGAGGCAAACACUCAGAUAGAAGUAGUAAUAUGGAUGCCUUCUAUUAUUUGGUCACAUACAAUACUGUUCCAGCCCAGUUGUGCAAAACUGGUGAAAUAAAAGGCAAAAAUAUUGACAACAGUUUGGGUAACUGGAUUCCAAAAUGGGCAUCCAUCUAAGAGAAAUUAAUGAAAAAAAAGCAUAUGGACCUUGAAAUACAUUAAUACACAGUUUAGGUUUAAACACUCAGUUUUUAUUAGAAAAGACUAACUUAUCCUGUUUUGAACACUACAAAAGUGCUUUCUGAACCAUUUACUCUCAAACCUCCUCCACCCAUUCCCCUCCAUCUAUAACGCUUUCUGCACAUCUGUAAAAGGUAUGACUUAGUGUUUGGUCUGUGAAAUAAGGUUAAAAAGGAAGCAUUUCUUUUUACAUUCUAGCUAAUGUUGAUAUUUUUCUCAUGCUUCUAUUAGCACAUAAUUCAGAUACAUUAGUUUUGAAGUUUUGAAUCUUCUCUGCUUCUUGAGGGCUCUCUGUUCUAGAUCAACAUGAUCUGUGGAACACCAGCCAAGUCCUGGGCAGAACCCUCCCCGUUGUCCAAAUAUUACUGAAUCAGUUGAGUUUUCUCUGUUGUCAAUGAAUUAUUCCACAUGUUUCUUUGGCUACAUUUUUUUUGGCUUUCUGUUCACAGUAAAUAUAGCCUUUGUUUUUAAAAACUUCUAUUAUGAAAAUUCCAAAUAUAUGCAAAUUAGAGAGAAUAGCAUAAUGAACCUCUAUGUGCUUAUCACACAUAUAGGUUCAACUAAUUAAAUUAUAUCAAUUUAUGGCCAAUCUGGUUUCAUUUAUAACAUCAUUCGCUCAUUCCUAACUCCCUGGAUUAUUUGAUUGACAUGUUUCUAAAGUUCCUUUUAAUCUGUAGGUUCCCCCUCUCAUUUAAUCUUUUGCAACUUAUUCAUUGAUGAAACUGGGUUAUUUGUCCUUUAUUGUUUCUCUCAUUCUGAAAUAUGCUGUAAUGUCAUUAACCAUAUUCUUCUUUCCUGUAUUUUCUGUAAGCUUUGAGCUAGGCAGAAAUAUUUUAAUCAGAUUCCUUUUUUUUUCUUUUAGCAAGAUUUCUUCAUAAAUAAUAUUGUAUGUGUUCAUGAAAAUAGAAAUAAAAAUAGAAAUAAAGAAGAAAUAACAGAAAA
This 4433-nucleotide long non-coding RNA is filed under the name Homo sapiens (human). Its description in RNAcentral is "non-protein coding MIR99AHG:121". Lineage: Eukaryota; Metazoa; Chordata; Mammalia; Primates; Hominidae. The record is from RNAcentral.